CCAAUGUUCCCUCAACCUCAUUUUCUCCCUUAACUAAAAAUAUUCUUAAAAUUAAACUAGAUGAUUUUAAAGGUAAUAGCAGGUUUGAUUUUCCCUAAGUAAAUUCCUUCUAGCCAAAAUGCUAGCAUGCAGCAUGUAUAUGUGAAACCUGAGAAGAGAAUAAAGCUAACAUUUUUAUGUUGGUAAUUACUGUUGACUUGGUUUUUUGCUUUUAGUAUUCUAAGCAGCUCCACUGCUUUGUGUGACUGCUAUUUUCAGCCAUCUUUUAUCUAGGGUUUCUCUUCUCUUAAACGUCUUUCUUUUUAUUCCUACAGUUAAGGAGCUCAGGUGUAUAAUUAUUCCUGCAGAAGGACGUGGGCUGUGUUUGUAUGUGUACGAGACCAGACUCUGCUGGCUGUUCGUUUGUUUUGGUUGUCUUAAUGACGAUCGUGGAUUGCUUCAGGACCGAUGGGUCUGCAGCCUCUGGACCAGUAAGAGAGAUGGCCCAAAUGAGUAAACGGAGGUGUCUACAGAGCCCAUGAAGAAUCAGAGGAGCCUCAACAGCUGGAUGCUAUAAAUGCCUCAGUAUUGGCACUCAUCUUUCAAUCAUUUCACUAAUCAUACAUAGAAUAUUCAGGCAAAGGAUGUUUGCCAUGGAUGCAUCAUCUGCUUCCCAGCUCUGCAGUAUCUGACAGUGAGUGAGAUGGGCUCACUUUAGUGUUAAAUGUGUUGGAUGGAGAUAAUUAAUUCUCAAUCUGUGUGAGUAAAUCAGUUUCCCCUCUUUCCCCAGCUUUAAUCAGGCUCCCACGCACAGGCAGGACCUCACACAUGCUCCCUGCUCUCUGGUAUGUUGUCAAAUCCCGUAGGCCAAAAGAAAUCUACUUUACAGAUUUUAGAUGGAAUUUGAAAAACAAAAGUGUUCUUAUUGAACAGUAAUGAGAUUCUACUAACCUCUUGAUUUAUAGACUAAAUGUGACAGAUGUGGCUAAUUUGGCAUGGAUAAUACUGAAAAAUACAAUAAAAUUCUAUUUUUAAAAUACUGACA
RNAcentral lists this long non-coding RNA (1024 nucleotides) under Felis catus (domestic cat). Its description in RNAcentral is "lncRNA (ENSFCAG00000051138.1)". Lineage: Eukaryota; Metazoa; Chordata; Mammalia; Carnivora; Felidae. The record is from RNAcentral.